This 179-nucleotide ribosomal RNA is filed under the name uncultured Comamonadaceae bacterium. RNAcentral describes it as "partial 16S ribosomal RNA". It matches the Rfam family "Bacterial small subunit ribosomal RNA", at positions 1206 to 1382 of the family's 1533-position model. The record is from RNAcentral. Lineage: Bacteria; Pseudomonadati; Pseudomonadota; Betaproteobacteria; Burkholderiales; Comamonadaceae.
AGGUGGGGCUACACACGUCAUACAAUGGCCGGUACAAAGGGCAGCAAACCCGCGAGGGGGGAGCCAAAUCCAUCAAAGCCGGUCGUAGUCCGGAUCGCAGUCUGCAACUCGACUGCGUGAAGUCGGAAUCGCUAGUAAUCGUGGAUCAGCAUGUCACGGUGAAUACGUUCCCGGGUCUU